Molecule: ribosomal RNA, 440 nt
Filed under: uncultured bacterium
Lineage: Bacteria
Description: partial 16S ribosomal RNA
Rfam family: Bacterial small subunit ribosomal RNA
Source: RNAcentral
CCUACGGGUGGCAGCAGUGGGGAAUAUUGCACAAUGGGGGAAACCCUGAUGCAGCGACGCCGCGUGAGUGAAGAAGCACCUCGGUACGUAAAGCCCUAUCAGCAGGGAAGAAAAUGACGGUACCUGACUAAGAAGCCCCGGCUAACUACGUGCCAGCAGCCGCGGUAAUACGUAGGGGGCAAGCGUUAUCCGGAUUUACUGGGUGUAAAGGGGGCGUAGACGGCAGUGCAAGUCAGGAGUGAAAUGCCGGGGCCCAACCCCGGGACUGCUCUGGAAACUGUGCAGCUCGAGUGCAGGAGAGGUAGGCGGAAUUCCUGGUGUAGCGGUGAAAUGCGUAGAUAUUAGGAGGAACACCGGUGGCGAAGGCGGCUUGCUGGACUGUAACUGACGUUGAGGCUCGAAAGCGUGGGGAGCAAACAGGAUUAGAUACCCGUGUAGUC